AAAUUGAAGAGUUUGAUCAUGGCUCAGAUUGAACGCUGGCGGCAGGCCUAACACAUGCAAGUCGAACGGUAACAGGAAGCAGCUUGCUGCUUUGCUGACGAGUGGCGGACGGGUGAGUAAUGUCUGGGAAACUGCCUGAUGGAGGGGGAUAACUACUGGAAACGGUAGCUAAUACCGCAUAACGUCGCAAGACCA
RNAcentral lists this ribosomal RNA (195 nucleotides) under Escherichia coli. RNAcentral's name for it is "partial 16S ribosomal RNA". It matches the Rfam family "Bacterial small subunit ribosomal RNA", at positions 1 to 203 of the family's 1533-position model. Lineage: Bacteria; Pseudomonadati; Pseudomonadota; Gammaproteobacteria; Enterobacterales; Enterobacteriaceae. The record is from RNAcentral.